AUUGAACGCUGGCGGCAUGCUUUACACAUGCAAGUCGGACGAGUGGCGAACGGGUGAGUAACGCCUCGGAACGUACCGUGUAAUGGGGGAUAACUGUCCGAAAGGACAGCUAAUACCGCAUACUAUUCGAGCGGCCGAUGUCUGAUUCGCUGGUUGGCGGGGUAAAGGCCCACCAAGGCGACGAUCCGUAGCGGGUCUGAGAGGAUGAACCGCCACACUGGGACUGGGACACGGCCCAGACGCCGACGGGAGGCAGCAGUGGGGAAUUUUGGACAAUGGGCGCAAGCCUGAUCCAGCCAUGCCGCGUGUCGGAAGAAGGCCGUAGGGUUGUAAAGGACUUUUGUCAGGGAAGCGGUACCUGAAGAAUAAGCACCGGCUAACUACGUGCCAGCAGCCGCGGUAAUAC
RNAcentral lists this ribosomal RNA (406 nucleotides) under uncultured bacterium. Its description in RNAcentral is "partial 16S ribosomal RNA". It matches the Rfam family "Bacterial small subunit ribosomal RNA", at positions 30 to 526 of the family's 1533-position model. The record is from RNAcentral.